RNAcentral lists this ribosomal RNA (253 nucleotides) under uncultured bacterium. Its description in RNAcentral is "partial 16S ribosomal RNA". It matches the Rfam family "Bacterial small subunit ribosomal RNA", at positions 524 to 776 of the family's 1533-position model. The record is from RNAcentral.
UACAGAGGGUGCGAGCGUUGUCCGGAAUCACUGGGCGUAAAGGGCGCGUAGGUGGCGACCCAAGUCGAUGGUGAAAGCUCGCCGCUCAACGGCGAGUCGGCCACCGAUACUGGGUUGCUGGAGCACUGUAGAGGCAGAUGGAAUUCCGGGUGUAGCGGUGGAAUGCGUAGAUAUCGGAAGGAACACCAGUGGCGAAAGCGGCUUCCUGGUCCAGCACCGACGUUCAGGCACGAAAGCGUGGGGAGCAAACAGG